RNAcentral lists this long non-coding RNA (363 nucleotides) under Elaeis guineensis (African oil palm). RNAcentral's name for it is "long non-coding RNA (EGUI_LNC002006)". The record is from RNAcentral. Lineage: Eukaryota; Viridiplantae; Streptophyta; Magnoliopsida; Arecales; Arecaceae.
GUCCCUUCUUCUCCUUAGCCUCUCCCCUUGUUGUCGCCCCUUCUCCCUUGGGUGUGGGCUCUUUUUGGGCAUCCCACCUGUUGGUGUGAGGUAUCGCACUAGUAUAUCUCUUCCCUCAUUUGAAUGGGUUGCGAAGCUGGUUGGAUCGGAGUUCAUCUUGCUUUCCUGCGGCGUCUGGCGUGCAUGCUUAGUAAAGGGUCUGUAUAUCCAGGCUUUCAUGAAUGUUUAAUUUAGAUUAAUUAAGAUUUAAUCUCUAGUUCUAUUACUAAUCAGGUAAGAAUUUGAUCCUUAUUCAUGUAGAUUAAUAAAAAAUUUUUAGAUGCAAUCUGGGCCUUUCAAAGAGAAAUAGUUUUCCUUCCUUUC